GCCAGCGUGGCUCAGUGGUUUGAGUGUUGGACUAAGACUCUGGAGACCAGGGUUUGAUUCCCUGCUCAGCCA
Phrynosoma platyrhinos (Desert horned lizard) is the source of this 72-nucleotide non-coding RNA. NCBI's taxonomy places the organism in Eukaryota, Metazoa, Chordata, Lepidosauria, Squamata, Phrynosomatidae. The record is from the annotation of a GenBank genome assembly.